Molecule: ribosomal RNA, 429 nt
Filed under: Acidobacteriota bacterium
Lineage: Bacteria; Pseudomonadati; Acidobacteriota
Description: Acidobacteria bacterium partial 16S ribosomal RNA
Rfam family: Bacterial small subunit ribosomal RNA
Source: RNAcentral
UGGGGAAUUUUGGACAAUGGGGGAAACCCUGAUCCAGCCAUCCCGCGUGUGCGAUGAAGGCCUUCGGGUUGUAAAGCACUUUUGGCAGGAAAGAAACGUCAUGGGUUAAUACCCCGUGAAACUGACGGUACCUGCAGAAUAAGCACCGGCUAACUACGUGCCAGCAGCCGCGGUAAUACGUAGGGUGCAAGCGUUAAUCGGAAUUACUGGGCGUAAAGCGUGCGCAGGCGGUUCGGAAAGAAAGAUGUGAAAUCCCAGAGCUCAACGUUGGAACUGCAUUAAUAACUAACGGGCUAGAGUGUGUCGGAGGGGGGGGGAAUGCCGCGUGUAGCAGUGAAAUGCGUAGAUAUGCGGAGGAACACCGAUGGCGAAGGCAGCCUCCUGGGAUAACACUGACGCUCAUGCACGAAAGCGUGGGGAGCAAACAGG